UCUUUGUUUUCCACACUCUCUCAUCAGUCAGAGUGGCGAGAGAGUGUGCGAAAUGAAGAUA
RNAcentral lists this microRNA precursor (61 nucleotides) under Pristionchus pacificus. Its description in RNAcentral is "mir-8364 microRNA precursor family". It matches the Rfam family "mir-8364 microRNA precursor family". The record is from Rfam by way of RNAcentral. Lineage: Eukaryota; Metazoa; Nematoda; Chromadorea; Rhabditida; Neodiplogasteridae.